This 253-nucleotide ribosomal RNA is filed under the name uncultured bacterium. RNAcentral's name for it is "partial 16S ribosomal RNA". It matches the Rfam family "Bacterial small subunit ribosomal RNA", at positions 524 to 776 of the family's 1533-position model. The record is from RNAcentral.
GACAGAGGGUGCGAACGUUGUUCGGAAUUACUGGGCGUGAAGCGCGUGUAGGCGGCAGCGCAAGUCGGGCGUGAAAUCCCACGGCUCAACCGUGGAAGUGCACUCGAAACUGCGCAGCUAGAGUCCUGGAGAGGAAGGUGGAAUGCUUGGUGUAGAGGUGAAAUUCGUAGAUAUCAAGCGGAACACCGGUGGCGAAGGCGGCAUCCUGGACCAAUACUGACGCUGAGGAGCGAAAGCCGGGGGAGCAAACGGG